CCUACGGGUGGCAGCAGUGAGGAAUAUUGGUCAAUGGCCGAGAGGCUGAACCAGCCAAGUCGCGUGAGGGAAGACGGCCCUACGGGUUGUAAACCUCUUUUGUCGGGGAGCAAAGCGAACCACGUGUGGUUCAUUGAGAGUACCCGAAGACAAAGCCUCGGCUAACUCCGUGCCAGCAGCCGCGGUAAUACGGGGGAUGCAAGCGUUAUACGGGUUUAUUGGGUUUAACGGGUGCGCAGGCGGAGGUGCAAGUCAGCGGUCAAAUUGCGGGGCUCAACCCCGUACUGCCGUUGAAACUGCAUCCCUUGAGUGCGCGAGAAGUAUGCGGAAUGCGUGGUGUAGCGGUGAAAUGCAUAGAUAUCACGCAGAACUCCGAUUGCGAAGGCAGCAUACCGGCGCGCAACUGACGCUCAUGCACGAAAGCGUGGGUAUCGAACAGGAUUAGAUACCCCAGUAGUC
This 459-nucleotide ribosomal RNA is filed under the name uncultured bacterium. Its description in RNAcentral is "partial 16S ribosomal RNA". It matches the Rfam family "Bacterial small subunit ribosomal RNA", at positions 338 to 795 of the family's 1533-position model. The record is from RNAcentral.